UUUUUAUUUUUAGUAAUUUGAUUCUAGUUAAAUUGAAUAGCUUCUCUUUGAUUUUACAUGUGUGUUUUUGUGGGAUUAAUAUAUUCUUAAAGGAUGGAUUAAUUUGUUUAUUCGCAGUUUUUAAUAUUAAUACUUAUUUAAUAAAUGUUAGAUUUAGUUAUUGGUAUUAUAUGAUCAGCUAAAAGUGUGCCAGCAGCUGCGGUUAUACACUUGAUCAGAGUUAUUUUUAUUUAAUUAUAAUUAUUGGGGUGUUUUGAGUUUAAAUUAUUAUAUUUUUAAGGUAAAAUUUAAAAAGGUUUAAUUAACUUUGGUUAGGAAUUUAUGAAAUUUUUAUAUAAACUAGGAUUAGAUACCCUAUUAUUUUGAAUGUAAAUUAAAAUUAGUAUUAAUAGUUAUGAUCUUUAAAUUAAAAGAAUUUGACGGUAAUUUAAUCUGUUCAGAGGAACCUGUGUAGUAAUCGAUGGUCCACGAUAAAUUUUACCUUAAAAUUGUGGGUUUGUAUAUCUCUGUCUUAAGAAUGUUUUAUUAGAAUGAUUUUCUUUACUUAAUAUUUAAUUUAAGUCAGGUCAAGGUGCAGCUUUUUAAGGGUUAUUAUGGGUUACAUUAAUUUAUGAAUUUUGGGUUGAAGGUUUUAUUACCUUUAAUUAAAUUGGAUUUGAUUGUAAUAUAUUUUAUAUAUUUUUUAUGAUAUUUGCUCUAGAUUAAGUACACAUCGCCCGUCGCUCUUAUUUAUUUAUAAAGAUAAGAUAAGUCGUAACAAAGUAGGCUUAUCGGAAGAUGAGCCUGGAAUGAAUU
Molecule: non-coding RNA, 795 nt
Filed under: Urochela rubra
Lineage: Eukaryota; Metazoa; Arthropoda; Insecta; Hemiptera; Urostylididae
Source: RNAcentral